UUCUCUGGGAUUGCUCAGUCAGCAGAGUAUAAGACUCUUAAUUUCAGGGUCAUGGGUUCAAGCCCCAUGCUGGGAAA
This is a non-coding RNA of Podarcis lilfordi (Lilford's wall lizard), 77 nucleotides long. Lineage: Eukaryota; Metazoa; Chordata; Lepidosauria; Squamata; Lacertidae. The record is from the annotation of a GenBank genome assembly.